This 434-nucleotide ribosomal RNA is filed under the name uncultured Glomus. RNAcentral's name for it is "SSU rRNA". It matches the Rfam family "Eukaryotic small subunit ribosomal RNA", at positions 569 to 1009 of the family's 1831-position model. Lineage: Eukaryota; Fungi; Glomeromycota; Glomeromycetes; Glomerales; Glomeraceae. The record is from RNAcentral.
AGCAGCCGCGGUAAUUCCAGCUCCAAUAGCGUAUAUUAAAGUUGCUGCAGUUAAAAAGCUCGUAGUUGAAUUUCGGGACCAUCAUGUUGGUCGUGCCUAGGUACGUACUGGCAUUGUCGGUUUCUCCCUUCUGACGAACCAUGAUGUCAUUUAUUUGGUGUUGUGGGGAAUCAGGACUGUUACUUUGAAAAAUUGAGUGUUUAAAGCAGGCUUUAGCUUGAAUACAUUAGCAUGGAAUAAUGAAGUAGGACGUUCGAACCUAUUUUGUUGGUUUCUAGGAUCAACGUAAUGAUUAAUAGGGAUAGUUGGGGGCAUUAGUAUUCAAUUGUCAGAGGUGAAAUUCUUGGAUUUAUUGAAGACUAACUACUGCGAAAGCAAUUUGCCAAGGAUGUUUUCAUUAAUCAAGAACGAAAGUUAGGGGAUCGAAGACGAUC